GGUCCAAUUGCGGAGUGGCCCGCGCCUGCAGUACAUGUGUUGCCACAGUUCGAGCUGAUUGCACGUGCAGGAUACGCCCGUUCGAUUCGGGCUUGGACCA
Molecule: non-coding RNA, 100 nt
Organism: Mycena latifolia
Lineage: Eukaryota; Fungi; Basidiomycota; Agaricomycetes; Agaricales; Mycenaceae
Source: the annotation of a GenBank genome assembly